CAGCAGCCGCGGUAAUACCGGCAGCCCGAGUGAUAGCCAAUUUUAUUGGGCCUAAAGCGUCCGUAGCUCGCCGAACAGGUCCGUCGGGAAAUCCACCCGUCUUAACGAGGUGGGGCUGUCCGCGCGGUAAACCAUGUCGCGCUUUGGGAGCCUGACAGACCAAAGGGGUACGUCCGGGGUAGGAGUGAAAUCCCGUAAUCCUGGACGGACCACCGGUUGCGAAAGCGCCUUUGGAGAACGGACCCGACAGUGAGGGACGAAAGCUAGGGUCUCGAACCGGAUUACAUACCCGGGUAGUCCUAGCCGUAAACGAUGCUCGCUAGGUGUGACGCAGGCUACGAGCCUGCGUUGCGCCGUAAGGAAGCCGAGAAGCCAGCCGCCUGGGAAGUACGUCCGCAAGGAUGAAACUUAAAGGAAUUGGCGGGGGAGCACUACAACCGGAGGAGCCUGCGGUUUAAUUGGACUCAACGCCGGACAUCUCACCGGCACCGACAACGUGCAGUGACGGACAGUUUGAUGAGCUUACCUGACCCGUUGAGAGGAGGUGCAUGGCCGCCGUCCGCUCCUACCGUGAGGCGUCCUGUUAAGUCCGGCAACGAGCGAGACCCGUGUCCCUAAUUGCCAGCCACGCCGAGAGGCGGCUGGGUACAUUAAGGAGACUGCCGCUGCUAAAGCGUACGAAUGAACGGGCAACGGUAGGUCAGCAUGCCCCGAAUGUGCCGGGCUACACGCGGGCUACAAUGUCCGGUACAGAGUGACGCUACCCCGAGAGGCGACUCUAAUCUCCUAACCCUGAUCAUAUUUCCGACUGCUGAUUGAAAC
RNAcentral lists this ribosomal RNA (822 nucleotides) under uncultured bacterium. Its description in RNAcentral is "bacterial SSU rRNA". It matches the Rfam family "Archaeal small subunit ribosomal RNA", at positions 459 to 1267 of the family's 1478-position model. The record is from RNAcentral.